This 1380-nucleotide long non-coding RNA is filed under the name Cottoperca gobio. Its description in RNAcentral is "lncRNA (ENSCGOG00000001990.1)". The record is from RNAcentral. Lineage: Eukaryota; Metazoa; Chordata; Actinopteri; Perciformes; Bovichtidae.
CUGCGGGACUGAAACGUGCAGGAAGACAGUGGAAACAAAGCUUUAACUGCGAUACUGAUGAGAACUUAGCAAAGUACAUGAAGCACCGCGUGUCCUUGACACAAAACAUAGGCAGGCUGAGGCUGUUCGCCGUGCACAGCCUCCUGACAGAGUUACCACAACACUGUGCCAGUUAGCGACUCCGAGCGAAACAUGCACAUAUCUCCACAACCGGACACGCAGUCAGCUGUCAGAGCUGCCCAGACACAGGAAGAGGCCACACCAACUAAUGUAGCAAACGUGAAAUGCGGACACAAGCUGGUGAAGAGUGACUUACCCGAGCAGUGUAUCCACAUCUGUUUGAUGAGACGGGAGAUUGUAAACGUCACACUUUAGGUUGCAUUCACGUACAAGAAGGUUUCACCGAAGAUGAGCAGAUAACUCUCCGCCGACCGCGGAGCGCAGCCAAUGGAAGCGAGCUGCCGGCGCCGCUUCGACCAAUCAGAUCGCCAGCGCGGAGUUGGUGGAAGCAUCCCGCCAGCUGCCUAGCAACGCUCAGUGUCCAUGGCAACAGAGCCAACAAACGCCCCCACUCCUCUUCAGCCUGCACCCCUCGAUUAGGACUAAAGUGUGCAAUCAGGAGAGCAGAGUCACACAGCGGAUUCACGACAACCGGGAGGAACCAGGUUGAAACCAGGUCUGCUGCAGGGAGACGAGGGGUCACACAGGAACCAGGUCUGAGGAUGGGAGACGAGGGGUCACACAGGAACCAGGUCUGAGGAUGGGAGACGAGGGGUCACACAGGAACCAGGUCUGAGGAUGGGAGACGAGGGGUCACACAGGAACCAGGUCUGAGGAUGGGAGACGAGGGGUCACACAGGAACCAGGUCUGCUGCAGAGGAGACGAGGGGUCACACAGGAACCAGGUCUGAGGAUGGGAGACGAGGGGUCACACAGGAACCAGGUCUGAGGAUGGGAGACGAGGGGUCACACAGGAACCAGGUCUGAGGAUGGGAGACGAGGGGUCACACAGGAACCAGGUCUGCUGCAGGGAGACGAGGGGUCACACAGGAACCAGGUCUGCUGCAGGGAGACGAGGGGUCACACAGGAACCAGGUCUGCUGCAGGGAGACGAGGGGUCACACAGGAAGCAGCUCACAGGUUGAGAGGAACCAUGUAGAGCUGUGGGAUGGAUUUUCAAAGACUGAAGUGUUUAUGUUGAGAGAGACUUAGAGAUAAAGGUGGUUGAGUACGUAAUACAAAGUAUGCACCUAAUACAGUCCAUAGAGAUGCUGUGUGUGAUGCUGUGUGUGAUGUGUUGUAGCUCUCUCCUGCGGAUAAAAAGCAAACCUACGACAACGAAUGACUGAAUAAAUAUUGUUUUCAAAAUGCACUGUUGAA